RNAcentral lists this ribosomal RNA (712 nucleotides) under uncultured bacterium. RNAcentral describes it as "bacterial SSU rRNA". It matches the Rfam family "Bacterial small subunit ribosomal RNA", at positions 125 to 851 of the family's 1533-position model. The record is from RNAcentral.
CCUGCCCAUAAGAGGGGGAUAAUCCAUGGAAACGUGGACUAAUACCGCAUAUUGUAGUUAAGUUGCAUGACUUGAUUAUGAAAGAUUUAUCGCUUAUGGAUGGACUCGCGUCAGAUUAGAUAGUUGGUGAGGUAACGGCUCACCAAGUCAACGAUCUGUAGCCGAACUGAGAGGUUGAUCGGCCGCAUUGGGACUGAGACACGGCCCAGACUCCUACGGGAGGCAGCAGUGGGGAAUAUUGCGCAAUGGGGGCAACCCUGACGCAGCAACGCCGCGUGCAGGAAGAAGGUCUUCGGAUUGUAAACUGUUGUCGCAAGGGAAGAAGACAGUGACGGUACCUUGUGAGAAAGUCACGGCUAACUACGUGCCAGCAGCCGCGGUAAUACGUAGGUGACAAGCGUUGUCCGGAUUUACUGGGUGUAAAGGGCGCGUAGGCGGACUGUCAAGUCAGUCGUGAAAUACCGGGGCUUAACCCCGGGGCUGCGAUUGAAACUGACAGCCUUGAGUAUCGGAGAGGAAAGCGGAAUUCCUAGUGUAGCGGUGAAAUGCGUAGAUAUUAGGAGGAACACCAGUGGCGAAGGCGGCCUUCUGGACGACAACUGACGCUGAGGCGCGAAAGUGUGGGGAGCAAACAGGAUUAGAUACCCUGGUAGUCCACACCGUAAACGAUGGAUACUAGGUGUAGGAGGUAUCGACCCCUUCUGUGCCGCAG